This 497-nucleotide ribosomal RNA is filed under the name uncultured bacterium. RNAcentral's name for it is "partial 16S ribosomal RNA". It matches the Rfam family "Bacterial small subunit ribosomal RNA", at positions 28 to 507 of the family's 1533-position model. The record is from RNAcentral.
GAUGAACGCUGGCGGCGUGCCUAAUACAUGCAAGUCGAGCGAACAGACGAGGCUCUUUCUCCUCUGUCGUUAGCAGCGGACGGGUGAGUCACACGUAACUAGCCUUUCUCUAUGACUGAGAUCACUUCGGCAAACCGUAGCUCAUAACAGGUGAUAUCAUCACCCGCAUGGUUUUAUAAUGAUAUAUGGUUUUUGUGUGACUUAUCGAUCUAUCCGCGCCGUAUUGGCUAGUUGGUUCGGUAACGCCUUACCAAGGAAACGACCCGUAGCCGACCUGAGAGGGUGAUCGGCGACACUGGAACUGAGACACGGUCCAGACUACUGAGAGAGGCAGCAGUAGGGAAUCGUACGCAAUGGGCGAAAGCCUGACGGAGCAACGCCGCGUGAGUGAUGAAGGUCUUCGGAUCGUAAAACUCUGUUAUUAGGGAAGAACAAAUGUGUAAGUAACUAAGGAGGUCGUGACGGUACCUAAACAGAAAGCCACGGCUAACUACGUG